RNAcentral lists this unclassified non-coding RNA (432 nucleotides) under fungal sp. RNAcentral describes it as "partial internal transcribed spacer region". The stretch from base 1 to 46 matches the Rfam family "Eukaryotic small subunit ribosomal RNA", at positions 1786 to 1831 of the family's 1831-position model. Lineage: Eukaryota; Fungi. The record is from RNAcentral.
AAGUCGUAACAAGGUUUCCGUAGGUGAACCUGCGGAAGGAUCAUUAACGAGAAAAACGCAUGCUCGUCUCGAACUUUUGGGGGCUGUCGCUGGCAAUGGCCGAGUGACAUGGGGUGGCUCCUCGUAGAUUAGCUGCACCUUAACGGGCCGAGCCGUGUUUCGAUCCCCGUCAAAGGGCACUUGUGCAUGUAGCGGGGAGUUGAGCCCGCCACCACAGAAUACCCCGGACCCAUGCUGUUGCACGCCCUCGGAGGGAGACGAGCAUCCAUCCACUUCUCCACACACACCUGUGCACAACCGGCAAGACGCGUUGUCGUCUUGCCCAUUCUUUACAUGCCUCCCUUUAAAGUAACAUGCUAGAACGGCGUUGUACGUGUGAUCGUCUCACACGAAAGAAAUAUACAACUUUCAGCAACGGAUCUCUUGGCUCUC